CUAAAAAGUCAACAACAAUACCACAUACAAUGCAACAAAAUGAAAUGAGCAUGUUGCCAAAAAAAGAGAUCACAAGAUCAAUCAGAACAGAAUCAGGCGAGACAGCCUUCUUCUCA
This 116-nucleotide non-coding RNA is filed under the name Ditylum brightwellii. The record is from RNAcentral. Lineage: Eukaryota; Bacillariophyta; Thalassiosirophyceae; Lithodesmiales; Lithodesmiaceae.